AUUGAACGCUGGCGGCAGGCCUAACACAUGCAAGUCGAGCGGAUGAAGGGAGCUUGCUCCUGGAUUCAGCGGCGGACGGGUGAGUAAUGCCUAGGAAUCUGCCUGGUAGUGGGGGAUAACGUCCGGAAACGGGCGCUAAUACCGCAUACGUCCUGAGGGAGAAAGUGGGGGAUCUUCGGACCUCACGCUAUCAGAUGAGCCUAGGUCGGAUUAGCUAGUUGGUGGGGUAAAGGCCUACCAAGGCGACGAUCCGUAACUGGUCUGAGAGGAUGGUCAGUCACACUGGAACUGAGACACGGUCCAGACUCCUACGGGAGGCAGCAGUGGGGAAUAUUGGACAAUGGGCGAAAGCCUGAUCCAGCCAUGCCGCGUGUGUGAAGAAGGUCUUCGGAUUGUAAAGCACUUUAAGUUGGGAGGAAGGGCAGUAAGUUAAUACCUUGCUGCUUUGACGUUACCAACAGAAUAAGCACCGGCUAACUUCGUG
Molecule: ribosomal RNA, 484 nt
Filed under: uncultured bacterium
Lineage: Bacteria
Description: partial 16S ribosomal RNA
Rfam family: Bacterial small subunit ribosomal RNA
Source: RNAcentral